This 852-nucleotide ribosomal RNA is filed under the name uncultured archaeon. RNAcentral describes it as "bacterial SSU rRNA". It matches the Rfam family "Archaeal small subunit ribosomal RNA", at positions 21 to 859 of the family's 1478-position model. The record is from RNAcentral.
CCCGACUGCUAUUUGGGUGAGGAUAAGCCAUGCGAGUUGUAUGGGAUACCUAAAUUUCCCAUGGCAAACUGCUUAGUAACACAUGAUCAACUUACCCUAUGGAGAAAAAUAACCUCGGGAAACUGAGGAUAAUGUUUCAUAGAUGAAUAGGCUUGGAAAAGUUUUUCAUCGAAAAGGAUAAGAAAAAUGGUUUUUAUCUGCCAUAGGAUAGGAUCGUGGUCGAUUAUGGUUGUUGGUGAGGUAACGGCUCACCAAGCCGACAAUCGAUAGGGGCCGUGAGAGCGGGAGCCCCAAGAUGGGUACUGAGACAGCGACCCAGGCCUUACGAGGCGCAGCAGGCGCGGAACCUCCGCAAUACACGAAAGUGUGACGGGGUUACCCAAAGUGUUCUUUUAAGAACUGUGGUAGGUGAGUAAUAUCCCCUACUAGAAAGGAGAGGGCAAGGCUGGUGCCAGCCGCCGCGGUAAAACCAGCUCUUCAAGUGGUCGGGAUAAUUAUUGGGCUUAAAGUGUCCGUAGCCGGUUUAGUAAGUUCCUGGUAAAAUCGGGUAGCUUAACUAUCCGCAUGCUAGGAAUACUGCUAUACUAGAGGGCGGGAGAGGUCUGAGGUACUACAGGGGUAGGGGUGAAAUCUUAUAAUCCUUGUAGGACCACCAGUGGCGAAGGCGUCAGACUGGAACGCGCCUGACGGUGAGGGACGAAAGCCAGGGGAGCGAACCGGAUUAGAUACCCGGGUAGUCCUGGCCGUAAACGAUGCAUACUAGGUGAUGAUACGGCCAUGAGCCGUGUCAGUGCCGUAGGGAAACCGUUAAGUGUGCCGCCUGGGAAGUACGGUCGCAAGGCUAAAACUUAA